Cricetulus griseus (Chinese hamster) is the source of this 837-nucleotide non-coding RNA. The record is from RefSeq and is a predicted model, not a curated record. NCBI's taxonomy places the organism in Eukaryota, Metazoa, Chordata, Mammalia, Rodentia, Cricetidae.
UCCCCGGAAAUCACGCUCACAUACCUGACAGCCUUGACCUGGGCUCAGCAAUUCAACUCCUCUUGAAUUCAACCCUUUCGGCUUAGCAGCCUCCACUCAAGUAAAGCUGGAUCCUUGACUGUACCACAGAAAAGAAUUUUAAAGCAAGCCAGAGUGAAGCAGGGUUCAUGAGUUUAUGCCGUGUGAAGAGUAUUUGGUUAAGCCAGGUACCCCAGGACUGGAGUCCAAGGAACACCCUACUGACCUACAGAAGUUCAAACCACCCCUGGCAUCUCCCCAACCCCUGUGACCAUGGUCUCCCCCUACUAUCUGACCUGACCAUGGUCUCUCUCCACCAUCAGUCUGCCUCUCACCUUUCUCAGAGCCCAGACCUGUGACUUCUGCCCACCCUGUCUGAAGAGUCAACAAAGCGCCAAAGGAAAGCACCAAAGGAAAACCACACCUCAAGCUCCUCUUUCCGCUUCCAUAUGCCUGAAACCACAACCAAAGGGGUGUGGCCACCCUUACAGGUCCACAGACCAGAUGCCUACACCUGUCCACCACCACAGGCGCCUUUCACUAGCCUGUCCAGAAGGGAGGAAGCCUCUCUCUACUUGCCAGUAGACUGUGACUCUGCCCACCUCAUCCAGUAACAUAGAUGUCCUCACUUUACUGUCAACCUGUGGCCCUGUUAGCUCCCAUGAGCUCACAAAAGCUCAACUUUACAGCAAGAACUUGGACCAACAAAGGACUAUCCACAGUGACCAGUCCAUCCAGCUGCCCACCAUGAGGAGCCAGGAAUGUGAAGCAAGUUACUGGUCCGGGUGAGUCGUCAUCAUGUGACUGCAGGCUGCGUGC